RNAcentral lists this long non-coding RNA (302 nucleotides) under Gallus gallus (chicken). The record is from RNAcentral. Lineage: Eukaryota; Metazoa; Chordata; Aves; Galliformes; Phasianidae.
GUGCUCCCUGCUUGCAGACAAAAUUUGCAGUUCUUUCUAUAAUCGCAUGCAUUUUUGCUGUUGGUGGCAGUUCCACAUCAGAAGGUACAUUCAGUCCCGGAGGGGCAACAAAAGGUUCUUCAUUUUCUUCCACGUUUUCUGUCUGAGCUGUUUCUCUUUGUUUUGCAGGCUGAUGCUCCUCUUCCUCAGUGGGUUCUGAAGGGUCAUAAUAAUCACUGCCAUAACGGAAUCCCACUGCAUUAUAGGUACCAUCUUCCGCCAAAGCUUCGCUCAGUCUUUUAUAUUCCUCCUCUUGCCUCGCC